RNAcentral lists this ribosomal RNA (237 nucleotides) under uncultured bacterium. RNAcentral describes it as "partial 16S ribosomal RNA". It matches the Rfam family "Bacterial small subunit ribosomal RNA", at positions 67 to 334 of the family's 1533-position model. The record is from RNAcentral.
CGCCCCGCAAGGGGAGUGGCAGACGGGUGAGUAACGCGUGGGAACGUGCCCUAAGGUACGGAACAACUCCGGGAAACUGGAGCUAAUACCGUAUGUGCCCGAGAGGGGAAAGAUUUAUCGCCUUGGGAUCGGCCCGCGUCUGAUUAGCUAGUUGGUAGGGUAACGGCCUACCAAGGCUACGAUCAGUAGCUGGUCUGAGAGGAUGACCAGCCACACUGGGACUGAGACACGGCCCAG